GUCCAUUGCUAUGCUGGUUGCUUGGCUCUAUUUUACCUCGUAGCUGUCGCGAAGAAAGGAGGAUGCGGUCAAUUCUAGUUCACUGUGUAAAAGCUCGCUGUCCACACAAAAUUAUUAGCUUAGAAUUGCUCUCCAAGGACGGUGUUUUUGACUACCUUCUGCUUCAGAGGACCCGAAAAGACUGCGAAGUACUGUGCAGACACCCCUGAUCUUGACAAGAGGUGUAACAUUCUGAGAAAAUCACAAUUCAGGACUGAAUCCCACGGCUUUGUUGCAGACAGACAGUAGCUGAUUACUCACUGAUACACCAGAGGAGCAGCUCAAUGGCAGACACUGGGGGUAAGUAAGCCCUGAGCAUGCAGGCUAAGUAGCAACAGAGGAUGUUUAGAGAGUGACUGUUUUCCAGACAUAUUGACUGGUCCCUUUGACCCUUUCUCCCCAGUGUACAUCCCUUUCUCCCCAGUGUACAUCCCUUUCGACCCUCCACAUCCACCCUUCACUUGCUGCCUCCGGCCCUUCCGCAUCCACUCACUAGCCCGCCUACAACUCGAUUCAAGUGAGC
RNAcentral lists this long non-coding RNA (562 nucleotides) under Salmo salar (Atlantic salmon). RNAcentral's name for it is "lncRNA (ENSSSAG00000089611.1)". The record is from RNAcentral. Lineage: Eukaryota; Metazoa; Chordata; Actinopteri; Salmoniformes; Salmonidae.